UUUUGGUAAGCUUAAAAGUCUCCACUCCAUGUGACAGCAAAAUAGUUCUUAGUUUCAAAUCCGGCAAGCAAGAAGAGUGAUUGUUUCCCUCACAAACACCUCUGAAGAAAACUCUAAGGGACAUCAUCAAAUAACCAGGAAAGAUUAAUCACCUGAGAAGAGAAGAGAAGAGACUGGGGAUCUUCACCCUGCCAAGACAGUCUUUUCAUCUAUUCUUCUGAGAGCAACUCCAAGAGAUUACCUGUGGGACUCAAUUUGCAUAACAAGAUGACCUUUGUUCCUGUGCAGUUCCACCCCUCACCUUCCCAUAAUGUCUGCCUCCCACCUCCCAGGUCCAUUAUUUUUCCCUAAUGACUUACUGCUCCUUAAAAGAAAUGUCUACACUUCCCAUCUCCUUCCUCCCCUAUGGAAAAGGGUAUAUCACUUCUAUCAUUCUCUGGUGAUCCCCCAUGCUAUGCACAUUACAAUAAAAUUUUGUACGCCUUUUCUCCUAUUAA
Molecule: long non-coding RNA, 497 nt
Organism: Macaca mulatta (Rhesus monkey)
Lineage: Eukaryota; Metazoa; Chordata; Mammalia; Primates; Cercopithecidae
Source: RefSeq, a predicted model, not a curated record